Ictidomys tridecemlineatus (thirteen-lined ground squirrel) is the source of this 2392-nucleotide long non-coding RNA. RefSeq lists it as uncharacterized. The record is from RefSeq and is a predicted model, not a curated record. NCBI's taxonomy places the organism in Eukaryota, Metazoa, Chordata, Mammalia, Rodentia, Sciuridae.
AUUAAGUAAGUGCCCUUAAUCAGCUUUUCAGUUCAGUUUUAUUGGUUGCACGCACAGUCAGUUAUUUCAUCCAGAAAAUCUGAAGGCCCUACAAACUAACCAGGGUAGCUCUUCUUUGGAGCAAUCCACCAGCUGCCUUGAAUGGAUAUUAAUGUGAAGAAAUGAAAAUUGCUUCUACUUUAAAGACUUUGGAUAUGAUUUAAGAAGCCAAGCAUAUAUAUGAAGUCAGAUAACAAGUUUAUUGUACAACUCAAUGUGGUGGAAAUGAAUGCAAAGCACUUCCAAGACACAGAGAAAUCCAUUCAAGUGAGGCUAGCCACCCCCCAGUCCCUGGAGAUGGAGUUUAUUUCACUUCAUGCAGAAAAGUUACAAAAUAAAAAGGAAAUUACUGGCUUAUGCUUGACACUGUGUAAAUGGAAACAGGAACAGCUCAUUGAGAACAGUCUUCUGGAGACUUCUCACAAGGCCACUAGAUGGCAUGAAAGCACUGUACUGGACCUGAUCAGCUACAGUGCAAUGUGCAACCGAGGCGUUUAUCCUCCUGCUGAGAGCUCAGUGUUUAGUCAAGUAAGAUGCAUUUUCUUUCAGAGGAAAAAAAAAAAAAUGACACUUUUCAGGACACAAAGGGGGUAUUCUGCCCUCCCCAUGCACACACUCAGAAAAUGUCGAAUUAAAUUUGGAAUAGUAAAAAUCAUUUCAGUAUUUACUGGGGCUUCCUGAGAACUUUACCUUUCAGCUCUUUCGGGGAUAGUCUGCUAUUUGUUAUGCAGCCCUCCUUAAUAGGUAGUUAGAGGGGAAAGUCCCUUCAGCAUUAUGCCUGUGCUCAAACAACUGCAGACAAAGUUUGCAUAUUCUCAGUCAUCUCUCUUUUUCUUGAUUUUUUUUCAUCAAAAAUUCUCUUUGUUUUUCUUCAUCUGAUAUUGUGGGGUCCCUCAUUAAGGACUGUAAUAUGAAAAGCUAGAUUUAAAACUGCUGUCAGAAAGGAGGUUGUCCCCUUUUAAUAUCCUUUACUAGCAAAGCAAAAGGAAAUUUCUUUGUUCUUUUCAAAUGCAACUUUUUUUUUUUUGCUUUAUUUAAUGUUUCUGCCUCAUCACUAGGCAUCUUCUCAUCUAACCCCCAAACUUUGAGAAAUACUUUUCUAUUUGGUGUAUUUCUAGUUCUCAGCAUAUGCACAAGGCACAUAUCUCCCUGCACCUCCACAACAGGAAUAAUUACCAUAUUCCUCCAGACAUUAUCGCUAUCUGCCUUCACAAAAUGUCCAUUGUAAAAAGCUGUUUUGAUCUUUUGGAUAAGUGCCUUAAUUUAAAAUAAUGGCAAAAAGGUAAAAUUAGGCCUCUAUGCUCAGCAGUGCAUGAAUGACAAAUCUGUUGUAGUUGGGUAUAUUUUUAAAGAUUCCUUUUUAAGUCUCUUAUAGCAAAUUUACAUAUGAUCAAAAACGGUAUUACACAUUGGCAAACUGAAGUGCAUAAUUUAUUUCAUGUGCUACUGAUAUAGCUAUGUUUAUACAUAAAAUGGGUUUUACAGUUUUGAUAUAAUAUCAUACCAGUUCAAAAUCUGAAAGAUUUCUAAAAGCAUUUUUUCACUUCAUCCACCCUUAUAAAUUUUUUUUCCUUGUAUAGUGUCUCAGAGUAAGAUAUAUCAUUUUUAAAGUAUUUUCUUAGAUCUGAUUUCUAUAAACUUGUGAAAACCAGAGAUUUUAUCAGGACAUCCAGUUAAAACAUUUAGUAAAACAAGGAUUCAAUAAUGUAAUCAUACCUCUUUAAAAUACAAAUAUUAGAGAAUCAAAGGGCAAAUUGGAAAAACUUGCUUCAUAGGCAGUGUUAGCAGUGUUACAUUUUGUUUUUACCCUGUGCAGUUCUGGUUUAUGAGAACAUAAGUUAAUUUGUCAUAUGAAUAGAUGGGAUGAGUCAUAUGAGCUAUGUUUUAAUUGGCUCUAAUGUUUGAUAUCAUUCAAAUCUUCACUUUGAGUAUAAUUCCCCAAACACCAUGAUUAUUGUUACAUUCUGCAUUGCUAUAAAACAGAGAGAAGGAUAGAUAGAUGAUAGAUGGUGAAAUAGAAGCCUUAUGUGUGCACAAUUGAGUUUCCUUCCGUUAGACAUUUUAUGUAAUUCAUAGUAACAUUAGUCAAUUAAUCAUCAGGGACGCAAAACAAGACCAAUGCUUUAAUAAUUUUAAAGUGGGUAGUACUAUAAUACUCUAAAACAAUUUUUUGAAGUGUGAUUUUGGCUGGUUUUGAAAGACCACUACAUUUUUAUGUGGCAUAUAACUAUUUAGCAGCAGUGGAACAUAAAAUCACUUUAUGUUUGAAAAUCCACCUGGAAGUGUAUGUGUAUAUGUGCUGUAGAAAUCCCACUAAGUUCUGUUUGAUCUCUUGAAAAAAUAUAUAUGUGUG